RNAcentral lists this ribosomal RNA (253 nucleotides) under uncultured bacterium. RNAcentral describes it as "partial 16S ribosomal RNA". It matches the Rfam family "Bacterial small subunit ribosomal RNA", at positions 524 to 776 of the family's 1533-position model. The record is from RNAcentral.
UACGUAGGUGGCAAGCGAUACUCGGAAUCACUAGGCGUAAAGCGCAGGUAGGCGGUUUGGUAAGUCUUUUGUGAAAGCUCCCGGCUUAACUGGGAGAGGUCAAGGGAAACUACCGGACUAGAGUGUGGUAGGGGAUACUGGAAUUCCUGGUGUAGCGGUGAAAUGCGUAGAUAUCAGGAGGAAUACCUAUGGCGAAAGCAGGUAUCUGGGCCAUCACUGACGCUGAGCUGCGAAAGCUAGGGGAGCAAACAGG